UCAGGAUGAACGCUAGCUACAGGCUUAACACAUGCAAGUCUAGGGGCAGCAUGGUCUUAGCUUGCUAAGGCCGAUGGCGACCGGCGCACGGGUGAGUAACACGUAUCCAACCUGCCGUCUACUCUUGGACAGCCUUCUGAAAGGAAGAUUAAUACAAGAUGGCAUCAUGAGUCCGCAUGUUCACAUGAUUAAAGGUAUUCCGGUAGACGAUGGGGAUGCGUUCCAUUAGAUAGUAGGCGGGGUAACGGCCCACCUAGUCUUCGAUGGAUAGGGGUUCUGAGAGGAAGGUCCCCCACAUUGGAACUGAGACACGGUCCAAACUCCUACGGGAGGCAGCAGUGAGGAAUAUUGGUCAAUGGGCGAGAGCCUGAACCAGCCAAGUAGCGUGAAGGAUGACUGCCCUAUGGGUUGUAAACUUCUUUUAUAAAGGAAUAAAGUCGGGUAUGGAUACCCGUUUGCAUGUACUUUAUGAAUAAGGAUCGGCUAACUCCGUGCCAGCAGCCGCGGUAAUACGGAGGAUCCGAGCGUUAUCCGGAUUUAUUGGGUUUAAAGGGAGCGUAGAUGGAUGUUUAAGUCAGUUGUGAAAGUUUGCGGCUCAACCGUAAAAUUGCAGUUGAUACUGGAUAUCUUGAGUGCAGUUGAGGCAGGCGGAAUUCGUGGUGUAGCGGUGAAAUGCUUAGAUAUCACGAAGAACUCCGAUUGCGAAGGCAGCCUGCUAAGCUGCAACUGACAUUGAGGCUCGAAAGUGUGGGUAUCAAACAGGAUUAGAUACCCUGGUAGUCCACACGGUAAACGAUGAAUACUCGCUGUUUGCGAUAUACUGCAAGCGGCCAAGCGAAAGCGUUAAGUAUUCCACCUGGGGAGUACGCCGGCAACGGUGAAACUCAAAGGAAUUGACGGGGGCCCGCACAAGCGGAGGAACAUGUGGUUUAAUUCGAUGAUACGCGAGGAACCUUACCCGGGCUUAAAUUGCAGAUGAAUUACGGUGAAAGCCGUAAGCCGCAAGGCAUCUGUGAAGGUGCUGCAUGGUUGUCGUCAGCUCGUGCCGUGAGGUGUCGGCUUAAGUGCCAUAACGAGCGCAACCCUUGUUGUCAGUUACUAACAGGUUCCGCUGAGGACUCUGACAAGACUGCCAUCGUAAGAUGUGAGGAAGGUGGGGAUGACGUCAAAUCAGCACGGCCCUUACGUCCGGGGCUACACACGUGUUACAAUGGGGGGUACAGAGGGCCGCUACCACGCGAGUGGAUGCCAAUCCCCAAAACCUCUCUCAGUUCGGACUGGAGUCUGCAACCCGACUCCACGAAGCUGGAUUCGCUAGUAAUCGCGCAUCAGCCACGGCGCGGUGAAUACGUUCCCGGGCCUUGUACACACCGCCCGUCAAGCCAUGGGAGCCGGGGGUACAAGAAGUGCGUAACCGCGAGGAG
RNAcentral lists this ribosomal RNA (1424 nucleotides) under uncultured bacterium. RNAcentral's name for it is "16S ribosomal RNA". It matches the Rfam family "Bacterial small subunit ribosomal RNA". The record is from RNAcentral.